CUCCACCACUGUUUGUCUAAAAAAAACACCCAACCCUCGACCCAGAUCCCCUUCCACCUCCUCUCUUCUCCCGAUUCACCCCUCGUCUCCCUCCCAUCUCACGCCGCCGCCGCCACCCACCACCCCGGCGACCUCCCCACCGGCGAUCCCCAGCCUCUGCACCCGCGCACGCGCCGCCUCCCCCAGUGCCCCGCCCCCCUCGCCGUCUCCUCCGGCAGACGGGGUCAGCCCCGUGGCGCCAACGUCUCCAAGGCGGAGCUGAAGGAGUGGCUGCCCAAGGUGUACGAGGUGAAGGACCCCAACUGCAUCUUGGUGUUCAAGUUCCGCACCCACUUCAGAGGCGGCAGGUCCUCCAGAUUCGGUCUCAUCUAGGACAACCUCGAGUCCGCCAAGAAGUUCGAGCCCAAGUACCGCUUCAUCAGGAAAUCUUGGAUUCAUAAAUGGGAGAAGCACAUAAGGGAGAAGAAGAUGAUUGCAAGGAUGGAGAGGGAGCAAAUCAUUUGGAGGGAUAGAAUGCCACUGUUUGGUGUUUUUAUGCAUUUUUGUUUGCUUUCAACUGUGUUUGCACUAGCUGGGAAUAAGUGACUAGGCAAUAAGUGUAGAUGUAUGGAUAUGCUCUAAUGCUCCUCGUUUACUAUAAAUCUUUGAUUUUGAAUGAUGUGGAAUGCUGCUGGUUUAUUACAAAUCUGGGCUUGUUUUAGUUGUUAGAAUUGUAUGCAUAAAAUGGAA
Long non-coding RNA from Triticum urartu, 729 nucleotides. RefSeq lists it as uncharacterized. The record is from RefSeq and is a predicted model, not a curated record. Lineage: Eukaryota; Viridiplantae; Streptophyta; Magnoliopsida; Poales; Poaceae.